GGAGGAGUCGCCUAGUCCGGACGAUGGCGCCGCACUCGAAAUGCGGUAGGCGGGCAACCGUCUCGAGGGUUCAAAUCCCUCCUCCUCCG
This 89-nucleotide transfer RNA is filed under the name Acidobacteriota bacterium. Its description in RNAcentral is "Acidobacteria bacterium tRNA-Ser". It matches the Rfam family "tRNA". Rfam says of the family: Transfer RNA (tRNA) molecules are approximately 80 nucleotides in length. Their secondary structure includes four short double-helical elements and three loops (D, anti-codon, and T loops). The record is from RNAcentral. Lineage: Bacteria; Pseudomonadati; Acidobacteriota.